Non-coding RNA from Rattus norvegicus (Norway rat), 1507 nucleotides. The record is from RefSeq and is a predicted model, not a curated record. Lineage: Eukaryota; Metazoa; Chordata; Mammalia; Rodentia; Muridae.
AUUUUUUCCAUUUCAUAAAACAAUUUCCCCUAUGUGUUAAAGUCAUUCAGAGUCGUAGUGAGCUUGUUCUCAGUCCUGCUUCCUAGCCUCAGCCCUCACGACUGUGUCUCCAUGUCCAGGAGUGACCGUUGACCACCAUGUUCCGGCACGUGCCUGCUUAGAGAACAGAUGAGCCUAAGUCGGGUGAAGCAAAUGGUCUGUUCUAGAAAUUGUGAAUGAGAAUGAAUAGUUGGUUCAAUUUUAUGGUUCAUUUGAAUGGAGGACAAUUAAGCUCUGGGGAUAUAGCCACCAUGUUUGGCUAUUUGAACAUUAAACAGGAUCUGGAGAAAGAAGCUAAAAGCAUGGACAAGCAAGAAGAGGGAGAGACCAUGCAGAGCGAGUGGACACGAGCUCAGCAGACAGCAAGAGCGGCUGCCUGGAUCGAUAAAAAAAAAUCUGUGGUUUAGUGCUGGUUCAAGGGCAGACCCAUUCCUGAUGUAUUCUUGCCUGUGGAUCGUAAUGAGACAACGUAUGGUUCUCUCUAAUACAUUGCUGCUUUCAUGUAAAUUAUGUUGAGGAAUCUCUCAUCAAAUAGCUUGGACUUGGAUGUCCAGGGGACCACUUUCUUGAAUUAUUUGCUCUAAGCAUUUCUGUCCUUGGCUGGGUAUAGGAAACAUUUUAUCCCAGCCGGUGGCCCAGCCGCACAAAUGCUCAGCUGAAUACUUCUUCAGGUAUCCAAUUCCCUGGGUGUAUCUCGGCUCAGCUGCACCGUCAAGGUUAUUUCUCAGCGGCGCCUCGCUUCACUUUUCUUUUCAAUCUGCAGCUCCCCAAGAGCCACAUCCAGCCUGGCACUUGGGUGCUCUGUCCUCACUGACCCCCAGUGCUCCGCUGCUUUGUGCUGCGCAUGCCCGCCCCUUUCUCUUCCGCACCCAUGCUGUCGCCCAUUGUUUGCUAAUGACUAGUUGGCAGGCAAAGGGAAGUAGCAGUCAGCUUGGCCCGCAGACUGGAAAGGAGCGUGUUUUUCUGAGAAUGAAAACAUUAUUUGGUGACCAACAUACACGGGCAAACUGAGACUCGGAAAAGACUGGGCUGCUGAGGAAGAUUGGAAAUUCAAUCCAGUUGCAGCCCCCUACCAACGUGCUGAUGACUACUCUCCGUGGAUUGACUUUUAAAAGUUCCACAUGUGUGACAAGCCUUGCGUGAUGUGCUGGCAGUGGUGGCUCUGUUUCAGUGGGAUUCCCUUCCACACAUCCUGGUGGAAUGGCUACUCAUCCAGGAGCUUGGACCUCUCACCCAACAAAGCCUACGGCAUCUAUGCAUGUUCUGCCUACAGCGGGCCAGAGAAUACACAUGGUCUAAGAUAACGUGGAACUAAUUAAACACAUGGAUGGACAAAUAAGUCAAACCGGGAUGCUUCUCUAACUCAUCCAAGAAACCUCCAGAGAAUUAGGGCUGUCUCUAUUGAUAUCUUAAUUGCUCUGAAUCAUCCUGGCUCCUCUAGAUCUCAAUAAAUAACAACCUGCAUGUA